RNAcentral lists this ribosomal RNA (381 nucleotides) under uncultured bacterium. Its description in RNAcentral is "bacterial SSU rRNA". It matches the Rfam family "Bacterial small subunit ribosomal RNA", at positions 29 to 394 of the family's 1533-position model. The record is from RNAcentral.
AACGAACGUUAGCGGCGCGCUUAACACAUGCAAGUCGAACGAGAAAGGGCUUCGGCCCCGGUACAGUGGCGCACGGGUGAGUAACACGUGGAUAAUCUUCCCUCGGGGCGGGGGAUAACAUUCCGAAAGGAGUGCUAAUACCGCAUAAGACCACGUCCUCGAAAGGGGAUGAGGUAAAAGCCGGCCUCUAUAUAUAAGCUGGCACCUAAGGAUGAGUCCGCGGCCCAUCAGCUAGUUGGUAGGGAAUGGCCUACCAAGGCUAAGACGGGUAGCUGGUCUGAGAGGAUGAUCAGCCACACUGGAACUGAGACACGGUCCAGACUCCUACGGGAGGCAGCAGGUGGGGAAUCUUGCGCAAUGGGCGAAAGCCUGACGCAGCGA